UUUCCGUAGGUGAACCUGCGGAAGGAUCAUUAAUGAGUUGUCAUGGGGUUCGAUGCUGGCAGCCAAUUUUUGGAUGCAUGUGCUUGCCCUAACAAUCAUCUUCCAAACACCUGUGCACAUUUUUGAGGGAGUCUUGAGUUGGUUGCCGCUCUUGGGUGGUUUUCUCACAUUCCCUUAAAUCAUUAUACGCUAUUAACAAUGUUGAACGUGCUCUGUGCCGCAAGGCUAUUAAUAUAAUACAACUUUUAACAACGGAUCUCUUGGCUCUC
Molecule: unclassified non-coding RNA, 269 nt
Filed under: plant metagenome
Description: partial contains small subunit ribosomal RNA, internal transcribed spacer 1, and 5.8S ribosomal RNA
Source: RNAcentral